This 72-nucleotide antisense RNA is filed under the name Streptomyces albireticuli. Its description in RNAcentral is "ASpks TB sRNA". It matches the Rfam family "ASpks TB sRNA". Lineage: Bacteria; Bacillati; Actinomycetota; Actinomycetes; Kitasatosporales; Streptomycetaceae. The record is from Rfam by way of RNAcentral.
CUUCACGGACCCGAGCCACAGCGGGUCGCCCGCGCGCUCCUUGCCGUACGUGGCGAGGAGCGCGCCGGCCUC